RNAcentral lists this ribosomal RNA (484 nucleotides) under uncultured bacterium. RNAcentral's name for it is "partial 16S ribosomal RNA". It matches the Rfam family "Bacterial small subunit ribosomal RNA", at positions 29 to 507 of the family's 1533-position model. The record is from RNAcentral.
AUUGAACGCUGGCGGCAUGCUUUACACAUGCAAGUCGAACGGCAGCGCGGGCUUCGGCCUGGCGGCGAGUGGCGAACGGGUGAGUAAUACAUCGGAACGUGCCCAGUAGUGGGGGAUAGCUCGGCGAAAGCCGGAUUAAUACCGCAUACGAACUGAGGGUGAAAGCGGGGGAUCUUCGGACCUCGCGCUACUGGAGCGGCCGAUGGCAGAUUAGCUAGUUGGUGGGGUAAAGGCAUACGAAGGUGACGAUCUGUAGCUGGUAUGAGAGGACGACCAGCCACACUGGGACUGAGACACGGCCCAGACUCCUACGGGAGGCAGCAGUGGGGAAUUUUGGACAAUGGGCGAAAGCCUGAUCCAGCAAUGCCGCGUGUGUGAUGAAGGCCUUCGGGUUGUAAAGCACUUUUGGCGGGAACGAAAAGGACUGUGCCAAUACCACGAUUCGAUGACGGUACCCGCAGAAUAAGCACCGGCUAACUACGUG